RNAcentral lists this ribosomal RNA (137 nucleotides) under uncultured bacterium. Its description in RNAcentral is "partial 16S ribosomal RNA". It matches the Rfam family "Bacterial small subunit ribosomal RNA", at positions 355 to 509 of the family's 1533-position model. The record is from RNAcentral.
UGGAGAAUAUUGCACAAUGGGCGAAAGCCUGAUGCAGCGACGCCGCGUGAGCGAAGAAGUAUUUCGGUAUGUAAAGCUCUAUCAGCAGGGAAGAAAAUGACGGUACCUGACUAAGAAGCCCCGGCUAACUACGUGCC